UUUCCGUAGGUGAACCUGCGGAAGGAUCAUUAAAGCGUUGAACCUGCGCCCCCGGGCGUAGGUAAAACCCCACCCGUGACUACUACACCACAUGUUGCUUUGGCGGGCCCGCCUCUGGCUGCCGGGGUUCCCCUGGAUAGCGCCCGCCAGAGAUACACUGAACUUCUGUGAAACUGGACGUCUGAGUUGAUAUCAAUCAUUAAAACUUUCAACAAUGGAUCUCUUGGUUCCG
RNAcentral lists this unclassified non-coding RNA (232 nucleotides) under soil metagenome. Its description in RNAcentral is "partial contains small subunit ribosomal RNA, internal transcribed spacer 1, and 5.8S ribosomal RNA". The record is from RNAcentral.